Molecule: ribosomal RNA, 1377 nt
Filed under: Kocuria rosea
Lineage: Bacteria; Bacillati; Actinomycetota; Actinomycetes; Micrococcales; Micrococcaceae
Description: 16S ribosomal RNA
Rfam family: Bacterial small subunit ribosomal RNA
Source: RNAcentral
CAUGCAAGUCGACGAUGAUGCCCAGCUUGCUGGGCGGAUUAGUGGCGAACGGGUGAGUAAUACGUGAGUAACCUGCCCUUGACUCUGGGAUAAGCCUGGGAAACUGGGUCUAAUACUGGAUACUACCUCUUGCCGCAUGGUGGGUGGUGGAAAGGGUUUUACUGGUUUUGGAUGGGCUCACGGCCUAUCAGCUUGUUGGUGGGGUAAUGGCUCACCAAGGCGACGACGGGUAGCCGGCCUGAGAGGGUGACCGGCCACACUGGGACUGAGACACGGCCCAGACUCCUACGGGAGGCAGCAGUGGGGAAUAUUGCACAAUGGGCGGAAGCCUGAUGCAGCGACGCCGCGUGAGGGAUGACGGCCUUCGGGUUGUAAACCUCUUUCAGUAGGGAAGAAGCGAGAGUGACGGUACCUGCAGAAGAAGCGCCGGCUAACUACGUGCCAGCAGCCGCGGUAAUACGUAGGGCGCAAGCGUUGUCCGGAAUUAUUGGGCGUAAAGAGCUCGUAGGCGGUUUGUCGCGUCUGCUGUGAAAGCCCGGGGCUCAACCCCGGGUCUGCAGUGGGUACGGGCAGACUAGAGUGCAGUAGGGGAGACUGGAAUUCCUGGUGUAGCGGUGAAAUGCGCAGAUAUCAGGAGGAACACCGAUGGCGAAGGCAGGUCUCUGGGCUGUUACUGACGCUGAGGAGCGAAAGCAUGGGGAGCGAACAGGAUUAGAUACCCUGGUAGUCCAUGCCGUAAACGUUGGGCACUAGGUGUGGGGGACAUUCCACGUUUUCCGCGCCGUAGCUAACGCAUUAAGUGCCCCGCCUGGGGAGUACGGCCGCAAGGCUAAAACUCAAAGGAAUUGACGGGGGCCCGCACAAGCGGCGGAGCAUGCGGAUUAAUUCGAUGCAACGCGAAGAACCUUACCAAGGCUUGACAUUCACCGGACCGCCCCAGAGAUGGGGUUUCCCUUCGGGGCUGGUGGACAGGUGGUGCAUGGUUGUCGUCAGCUCGUGUCGUGAGAUGUUGGGUUAAGUCCCGCAACGAGCGCAACCCUCGUUCUAUGUUGCCAGCACGUGAUGGUGGGGACUCAUAGGAGACUGCCGGGGUCAACUCGGAGGAAGGUGGGGAUGACGUCAAAUCAUCAUGCCCCUUAUGUCUUGGGCUUCACGCAUGCUACAAUGGCCGGUACAAAGGGUUGCGAUACUGUGAGGUGGAGCUAAUCCCAAAAAGCCGGUCUCAGUUCGGAUUGAGGUCUGCAACUCGACCUCAUGAAGUCGGAGUCGCUAGUAAUCGCAGAUCAGCAACGCUGCGGUGAAUACGUUCCCGGGCCUUGUACACACCGCCCGUCAAGUCACGAAAGUUGGUAACACCCGAAGCCGGUGGCCUAACCC